RNAcentral lists this long non-coding RNA (3037 nucleotides) under Gossypium raimondii (Peruvian cotton). RNAcentral's name for it is "long non-coding RNA (GRAI_LNC004758)". Lineage: Eukaryota; Viridiplantae; Streptophyta; Magnoliopsida; Malvales; Malvaceae. The record is from RNAcentral.
CCCGCCUUUGUCAUAGUAUAGGCGCCCCAAGAGUGUUGAUGCCGACUGACCGAAGAUUACAAAGAAUGCAUACAUGAUGAUGUUGAUCCACCACUUAUAGUUCCUUGGUUCAUGGCUUGCCAGUUUCUUGCUAUUCUGAUAUUGAGGUGAGUUUUCUUCCUUUACUUCUUGAACUGUUAGAAAAACAUUUGAAUAAUUGUCAAAUGGGUUUCUUUAUCUGUUAUAUUUUGCAAACCUAAAAUGUCUGCUUUUUCUCUAUGUCGUUUCGACUCAUCAUUUUUCUUGAAGAAUUAAUAUCUAACAUUCAUUCCGACAUUGCAAACCUAAAUGCAUGAAUAUAACAUGAAAAAAAUAAUAAAAGCAUAAUACGACAUGACAACAAAACAAAUCUAUAAUAUGUAUAAAAAACAUAAAUGUAAAUAAUCUUUUGAACUGAUGAAAAUUAUUUUUUAUUGCUUAUUGUUUACUAAAUCGAUAUCAGGAUAAAAUUUUAAUAUCAUUAAAAUUUAAUAUAGGUUCAAUUAUGCUUGGUAUAUAUGUUAAAUUAUACUUUCAAUGUAAUUUAAAAUUAUUCAAUGUUGAAUUAAAAUUUUGAUGGGUAUUUUAAAUAUAUACUAUAAAAUUAAAAUUUAUUACUAUAAAAUAGAUGCAUUGCAUUUGGGCAUUUUCAUUCAAGUGGUAGCUUAAAAAAAUCACUAAAAUGGUUUGGCUUUCAUUAUUUUUAUUCUAUUGUUUGAAAAUUUUUCAUUCUAUAAUAUUUUAAUUAUCAAAAUAAUUUAUAAAUUUUGAUCAUUUUGGCAAUUUGAAUGAAGUAAAAAUAUAUCAUUUAAUGAAAUAAAAAAUUAAGAAUGUAAAAUCACAUGCUAACAUGUAUGAUAUUAAAAACUUAUAUAACACAUGAAUUUGCCAAUAUCUAUAUAAAACAAACUAUUAAUAUAUUGAAAAGAAUUAUAUAAACAUUACUACUUUAAAUGCUAAUAUUAUAUGAAAAAAUAAUAUCAAUUGUCAGAUUUGUUAGAAACAAAAGCCUAGAUAUGCAAAUUAAACAUAUAACUUCAUCAUUGUAAUGAGUAAGAAAAUUAUUUUGAUAACACUUUUUAAAAUAAAAACAUCAUAACGCUUAAAAAAGUAAAAUUAAGUUGUAAAAAGCAAAGUGAUAAUCAGAUAAUAAUUCUAAUUAAUCAUGUUGCAUUAUUUCUUGGCAUCUCUCUACAUCCAUAAAAGGAAAAAAUAAAGAAACAAAAAGCCGUAAAAAUGAUCAAUUCCUUCUAAACUCUAUAAUAUUAAGGCUUAACUACAAAUUGGUCCCUAAACCAUAUCAUUUUUUCCACUUAGGUACUUAAGGCCUUUUUUAGUCUAAAGUGGUACCUAAACCAUCAAUUUUGUUUCAUUCUAUCCCACAUACGAAGUCAAAGAACAUGCCACAUGCCAUGUUCUUAUUGGCUGGUAUAAUGUUUUGGGUAAAAUGAGACGUUCAUUUUUUUUACUAUAACGAGAUUCAUAGUUUAGGUACCACUUUUGAUGAUAAAGAACUUUUAGGUUACUAACUGAGAAAAGUGGUAAAGUGGUAUAAUUUGAGGUUUAAUUUUAUAUUUAAGUCUAAUAUUAAUUGUAAAAUGAAUCAAAUAGGCAAAAAAAAAUGUUAUGUUCAAAAUUCAAUCCAUUUUUCAAUCAGAUCUUAUUUUUUGUUUAAGCCUUUCUCUAAGCCUAAUAAAUUGUUAAUCUUCUCAAAUAUCGGACAAUUUUUUAGCAUAGGCAAAAAAAUCCGACCCUCAAAAAGCUGUAGUGCUGUUAGAGACAUAUUUGAUUGGCCGAUUGAAACAGAAAAUAGUAGUUUGACCGGUGUCAUAUGAUCGAAUAGGGAGAAUCAUUGUGAGCCAGUAAAAAUUGGAAAGUGAAAUAAAAAAACCGGUCUGAUUCUUACAACAUUGCUUCUAGAGGUAGAGAUUGUUGCUUUGACUUUGAAACCUAAAACAUAGUGAUAGAGCAUAGAGAUUAAACAAGAGAGUUGGCUUGAUUGCUAUCUUUCUGUAAAUAACAACAGAAAUAUAGAGAACUCUAAAAUCCAUUUUGUAGUUUGCUUCUCUGAUAUUCAUGUGUGCUUUUUCUAUGUUGGUCCCUUUAUUUAUAUUUGGUAUUUGUGUUCGACUUAUAUGACAUGAGAAUAUGAUCCCAUAAAAUAUACUAGAAGAACUUUUAUAUAAGAUACGUACCCGUAUUUGAUAUAUGAAUUUGAGUAAACAUAGGAGUCUACUUACCAAUGAUGUGGAGUUGAACUUCUUGAGUUUUUCCCAUAUUCAAAACAUGAAGAGGUUCGAAAAAGCAGCCCCCGGUUAGAGAAGGAGAGAAAAGAGGAGAUAGUUUAACAAAAUAGGGAUGUAUGUAUGUAUGUAAAGUAUAGCAGCUAAUUGUGAAUGGCAAUUUAAGUAUCCAACGGAAGAAAAAGAAAGGUAUCCAGUUCCAUCCAUAUGAAGCAUGAGGACGAUGACGACCGCAUCUUGUUUCUUUCUUUUUUGUCUUGUCGUCUUUAUUGUUUGUGAUUGAGUAUGUGUUCAAUACAUGCAUGUUCAAAAUUCAUUACAUAUUUUUCGAUUUAUUUGAAGGGUUAUAUUUCUUCACUCAUGUCCGAAUGUGUGUCGUAUUUCAAAGGAGGAAGCAACAUAAAGCAUAACCAUAUUAUCAUCUGUCAUGAAUCUUUUUUUACAAAUUUGAGAAUGGUGGGUAUGUAUAUGUACAUUGACCUUGUGCAGAAAUGAAACAUGUGCAUGGUUUGAGUUUGAUGGGGGCUUCUUAGUUUGCAAUAAAUAGUUUAGUUUAUAUAUCAAUUGCAAUAUCUACAUCUUCAAUAACAGGAAAUGCACAUGGCUUAUCAAAUGCAUCACUCAUGAUCACGCAAUUUAGUGCCUUGGAUUUUGACCAUUUUGUAAAAUGAUGAUGAUGCUUUCUUUUUGGUGCUAAACUUGAACUAUCUCAUUUACACUAGAUCUCCAUCACAAAGGAGAUGGCUUUUUUCUUUGCUCUUGCGGCUUCCUCAGGC